RNAcentral lists this ribosomal RNA (252 nucleotides) under uncultured bacterium. RNAcentral's name for it is "partial 16S ribosomal RNA". It matches the Rfam family "Bacterial small subunit ribosomal RNA", at positions 524 to 776 of the family's 1533-position model. The record is from RNAcentral.
UACGUAGGGUGCGAGCGUUAAUCGGAAUUACUGGCGUAAGCGUGCGCAGGCGGUUCGUUGUGUCUGAUGUGAAAGCCCCGGGCUCAACCCUGGGAAUGGCAUUGGAAACUGGCGAGCUAGAGUGUGGCAGAGGGGGGUGGAAUUCCGCGUGUAGCAGUGAAAUGCGUAGAGAUGCGGAGGAACACCGAUGGCGAAGGCAGCCCCCUGGGUCAAGAUUGACGCUCAUGCACGAAAGCGUGGGGAGCAAACAGG